GUGAGAGGACCCGGCGGUGCCCCCACCCGGUAGCCCUGGCGCACCUUCCCCGGUGCCAGGUCUGCCGGGUGGAGGCAUCGCCGGAAUCGAGAGCCGAA
Molecule: regulatory RNA element, 98 nt
Organism: Pseudonocardia sp. CNS-004
Lineage: Bacteria; Bacillati; Actinomycetota; Actinomycetes; Pseudonocardiales; Pseudonocardiaceae
Rfam family: mraW RNA
Source: Rfam